Non-coding RNA from Aulographum hederae CBS 113979, 137 nucleotides. NCBI's taxonomy places the organism in Eukaryota, Fungi, Ascomycota, Dothideomycetes, Aulographales, Aulographaceae. The record is from the annotation of a GenBank genome assembly.
GCGGGGGUAGUGCAGUGGUUAGCAUUCUGCCUUCCCACUCACCCUCACGCCAAUAUAACGUUGUUGCCCCCCCUGAAUGGUGAGGAGUGAGGGUUGGGGAAAUGGCAGAGACGUGAGUUCGAAUCUCGCCCUCCGCA